AUGAAGAACGUAGCGAAAUGCGAUAAGUAAUGUGAAUUGCAGAAUUCAGUGAAUCAUCGAGUCUUUGAACGCACAUUGCGCCCCCUGGUAUUCCGGGGGGCAUGCCUGUCCGAGCGUCAUUGCCGCCCUCAAGCACGGCUUGUGUGUUGGGCCCCCGCCCCCCGGCUUCGGGGGGCGGGCCCGAAAGGCAGCGGCGGCACCGCGUCCGGUCCUCGAGCGUAUGGGGCUUCGUCACCCGCUCUGUAGGCCCGGCCGGCGCCCGCCGGCGACCCCAAUCAAUCUUUCCAGGUUGACCUCGGAUCAGGUAGGAAUACCCGCUGAACUUAAGCAUAUCAAUAAGCGGAGGA
Molecule: unclassified non-coding RNA, 347 nt
Filed under: soil metagenome
Description: partial contains 5.8S ribosomal RNA, internal transcribed spacer 2, and large subunit ribosomal RNA
Rfam family: 5.8S ribosomal RNA (bases 1-119)
Source: RNAcentral